Molecule: long non-coding RNA, 3056 nt
Organism: Salvia miltiorrhiza (redroot sage)
Lineage: Eukaryota; Viridiplantae; Streptophyta; Magnoliopsida; Lamiales; Lamiaceae
Exons: 3
Source: RefSeq, a predicted model, not a curated record
AAGGGCCUAAAUCCAAUUAUUAUAGUUCAUGGGCCUAAGGCCUUUAGGGCUCACUCUCACAUCUAUAAAUAGAAGGUUUAGCAUUAGCAUUAGGGGAUCAUGGUUUACAUGGGAACAACACUUGUAAAAUGUAAUUAUCUCGAAGUAUAGUCGAAGAACUCGAAUAUCUCCCAUGGGCGUAGGUCUUGACGGCCGAACCACAUAAAUCCUGUCUCGAUUAUUGCUUUUUAGAUUGGGUGUUGGUUUCAUGCAUCAUCAACUGGCUCCGUCUGUGGGAAAUGGAGCUUAAGACCUCGCCGGAAAAAGGGAAAAAGUCAUAUUCUAAACCCUCCAGCAGGGGCCACGCACCGUCUCUGCAUAGGAAUCGCGCAUCGCCUCCGCACACGUCGCCGGCGACGGUAUGGGUUCACACGCUAUCGCUGCAUCCUACGAACAAAAUCUAGCUCGAUUUCUUCAUUUUGAAGACAGAGAAAGGUCCUACUAGUGCUCUGACUUGGGGAACAAAAUCAUUCAUCCCCUCAUACAUUACUAGGGUGCCGAUCUCCACCAGAAUUAUACUGGCGAGGGUUCCAAUUGACGGGGAAGAUUUUUCUUCCUUAGGGCUCUUCUCGAUUAGUUCUAUGCCAACCUCGAUUCUUUAAUUUCUGCUCAUUUUGUCUACAAUCAUUUCUGAUUUUGUUCGAUUUUUGUUUUUGUGAAGGGCAUAAUAAUGUUAAAAAAUCUUGGACGGAUUGAUUGAUUGAGGGAAUUACAGAUUUAGAAAAUAGAAGGUCGGGUCUGCUAGCUUCAGCCUCCAGUUCGAGCUGGGGAAAGAUCGGUUCGGGCAAGGGCCGAGGUUCCGUGUUAAUUGAGUCCACAAAUCGCAGCUCGGUUUUCUCCAACGCCGCACUGCCAGCACAAGGGUCUUCUAUUUCGGGGCAUCAUAUUGUCCCAUUUCUCUUGAUGAAGUCGAAGCCACCAGCGAUUUGGUUUAACGAAGCAGGGCAAGUUGAUGAUAUUCACAGCUUUGAAACUCGAUUAAUUGAGCCUUAUCACGCUGGAAUAAGAUUUUAUUAUAAAAAUGCAUAAGCUAAGGAUAUUGCUCGAUAUACAUUUGAGAUUGCUUGUUGUUACCAAGGCCAACCAAGGAUCUGAAAAGCAGGACUACCGAAGCUCCAGUGAAAGUAAUUCUUAUGUGGCUUUGAUGCCGUUCAAGUCGAGGAACCAGGAAUAUGUGAUUACACAUCCUUUGAUGUACUCUACUUUCACUUGAGGGGAAGCCUGAUUAUGGGCUUAUUAUUGUUUUUAUUUUUUCGAAGGCCAAUGGGAUAAGUACUAAUCAAUAUUUGUAUUUGGUUAUGCUAAUAGAAAUUAUGCCUUGUUUACCAUGAAGAAUGGGAAUGACAAUUACUAGUUUUCUCAGUAUAUGGAAUGAAUUUUGGAUAAAUGUCUUUAUGUGAGGGAUGGGAUUAUUUUCAUAAUAGGUGAUUAUUGGGUAUUCAAGUUAACCACUCGUGAUAUUUUGGCUGUGAUUAUCUGUUCAAAUUUGUUGGGAUUAUUCGCUGGGCCUUAUUUGAGUUUUAGUGACUGAAUUUUGGUUUAUGCGAUUAUUGUUUGUUUCUGAUUUAUACUUUGCGAUAUUGUGACUAUAAUUGUGAUGUUUGAAUUAGUCGAGAUAUUUGACAAGGUUGUAAAGAUUACGGGUCCACGAUAAUUUCAUUUCUUUUUGGUAAUGUAAUAUCGCAACAGGGAUGGAGUAAGGCGUAUACUCUUUUUUACUAAUGGUGUUCCAGCCCUGUCUUAAAGGGCUUUCAUAUGUUACUAAUAUUUGUGCUUAAGAAUUCUUACAGCACAUGAUAAACAACUUUGGGGAAAGACUUGAAUAAAUAUGGUAAACACCAGACACAUGGAAAGGUCACCCACUAACAAGUGGUGACUCAGGGAAUCAUGUAUGCUUAAUUGACACGGGAGAGCAGCACAUCGCUGACUUCAACUUACACACCACUGGUCGAACAAAGACAACACUGUUCAACCAGACUAGGGGGGGAAUAGCUGAUGAAGACUAGAAUACUCAUCAGCGCUGUGCUUAGCAAUACAAGAACAUCUUACUUGAUUACUAUUAUUGUUGUUAUUAUUAUUAUUGAACGAAGCCAACCAGCGCAGGUUUAAUUGAAGACCUCGGAUAAUAAAGGGACGACUCGCCUGCGCAGCUCAAGGGGACUACUCAGCAUGGGCAACGAGGGAGUUCUGUCUUCAUUACCCGAACUAGUCGAAGAAGUCAAAGUGCCUGCGUAGCCUAAUGAGUUCGAAGCACCUGCGCAGGUUAAAGAACUUGAAGUCUCGGCAUAGUCAUAAGAUAGCGAAGCUUUCGGCGCAGUCAAACUAGCGCAGAUGGAUCAAAUCAAGACUAAAGUUAAGUGUAUUAAGGCAUUAAAGGGCCUAAAUCCAAUUAUUAGAGUUCAUGGGCCUAAGGCCUUUAAGGCUCACUCUCACAUCUAUAAAUAGAAGGUUUAGCAUUAACAUUAGGGGAUCAUGGUUUACUUGGGAACAACACUUGUAAAAUGUAAUUAUCUCGAAGUAUAGUCGAAGAACUCGAAUAUCUCCCGUGGACGUAGGUCUUGAUGGCUGAACCACGUAAAUCCUGUCUCGAUUAUUGCUUUUUAGAUUAGGUGUUGGUUUCAUGCAUCAUCAGUAUCCGGUAUAUGAUGAUGACAUGUAACAGCCCGGCUUCAGACUUGACGGCUGUCCCCACAGACCAACACGAAUCUUUUCUAGCGCAUUUUGUCCUCACUCGCACGCUCCCCGAGAAACUUCCCAGGGGGUCACCUAUCCUGAAAUUGCUCCAAGACAAGCAUGCUUAACCUUGGAGUUUCUUCCAUGUGGGCACCAGAAAAGAAGAUGCACCUUGUUGAUAUGAGUAGCAGCUAUCAAAUCAUUUAAGCUCUCUUCGUUCGGGUGUGUUUCGGUUCAUCCAUGCGCCUCUUCGCUUGGAAGUCUUAACCGGAGCCGCUCCUUGUCUGUGCCUCUUUUGCACCAGCGAUCACUCCGCACUUCAUCGCCGGGCGUCACAUGACAUU